This 179-nucleotide small RNA is filed under the name Dipodomys ordii (Ord's kangaroo rat). RNAcentral's name for it is "TUC338 (ENSDORG00000030097.1)". The record is from RNAcentral. Lineage: Eukaryota; Metazoa; Chordata; Mammalia; Rodentia; Heteromyidae.
UUAGAUGAAGAACUAAAAUUCUCUGUUUGUACACAGGCCAGGUAUAGAGGGGGAGGGCCCAGUGCUUUCAAGCUUCCCCAUACAGCACCGCCUAUCUACCUAAACUCUGAUUUGAAAGGACCACUAACUGCUGGGGUGAGAGAAGACAUUCAUUAUUUCAUGCCCAUUCCAUGACCACA